CAUGCAAGUCGAACGGUAACAGGGAGCUUGCUCCGCUGACGAGUGGCGAACGGGUGAGUAAUACAUCGGAACGUGUCCUGUAGUGGGGGAUAGCCCGGCGAAAGCCGGAUUAAUACCGCAUACGAUCUACGGAUGAAAGGGGGGGAUUCUUCGGAACCUCUCGCUAUAGGGGCGGCCGAUGGCAGAUUAGCUAGUUGGUGGGGUAAAGGCCUACCAAGGCGACGAUCUGUAGCUGGUCUGAGAGGACGACCAGCCACACUGGGACUGAGACACGGCCCAGACUCCUACGGGAGGCAGCAGUGGGGAAUUUUGGACAAUGGGCGAAAGCCUGAUCCAGCAAUGCCGCGUGUGUGAAGAAGGCCUUCGGGUUGUAAAGCACUUUUGUUCGGGAAGAAAAGGACUGGGAUAAUACCCUGGUCUGAUGACGGUACCGGAAGAAUAAGCACCGGCUAACUACGUGCCAGCAGCCGCGGUAAUACGUAGGGUGCAAGCGUUAAUCGGAAUUACUGGGCGUAAAGCGUGCGCAGGCGGUUUGUUAAG
RNAcentral lists this ribosomal RNA (540 nucleotides) under Burkholderia sp. Z2S-218. RNAcentral's name for it is "bacterial SSU rRNA". It matches the Rfam family "Bacterial small subunit ribosomal RNA", at positions 54 to 587 of the family's 1533-position model. The record is from RNAcentral. Lineage: Bacteria; Pseudomonadati; Pseudomonadota; Betaproteobacteria; Burkholderiales; Burkholderiaceae.